RNAcentral lists this transfer RNA (62 nucleotides) under Dercetina varipennis. Its description in RNAcentral is "tRNA-Glu". Lineage: Eukaryota; Metazoa; Arthropoda; Insecta; Coleoptera; Chrysomelidae. The record is from RNAcentral.
AUUUAUAUAGUUUAAUUAAAACAUUACCUUUUCAUUGUAAAAUUAGAAUAAUCUUAUAAAUA